CAACUGCAAUAGCCAUUAUUGCCCGAUAUCCUUAAAUGAUGUCUAAUGAUGGACUGCAUUCUUUCUUACUUUAGGGUAGGGGGUACUAAUUGGUUCAGUUUUGGGGUGACUUGGUCAGUAUCAUUAACAACUAGACCUAGGUGCUUAUUAGUUUAUUCUUCGGGUAGUUUCUCUCGGACUAAAUAAAAUGUGACCUAGCAGAACACUGUUACAGUUUACGGAUAUGUGGGGGCAUCCGAGGUUCCACAUAUGGGACAAUUGAUCGAGCAAGAUUGGAGGAUGUGUAUCGUUGUUUCCAGGUAGCUUAAGGUAGCUGUCUUGCUAUAUAUGGGUGAAGCAGCUGAUUUGGAAGGCACAUGGUCUCACAGGGGUGAUUGG
Molecule: non-coding RNA, 378 nt
Organism: Triticum urartu
Lineage: Eukaryota; Viridiplantae; Streptophyta; Magnoliopsida; Poales; Poaceae
Source: RefSeq, a predicted model, not a curated record